This 87-nucleotide transfer RNA is filed under the name Clostridia bacterium. Its description in RNAcentral is "tRNA-Leu". It matches the Rfam family "tRNA". Rfam says of the family: Transfer RNA (tRNA) molecules are approximately 80 nucleotides in length. Their secondary structure includes four short double-helical elements and three loops (D, anti-codon, and T loops). Further hydrogen bonds mediate the characteristic L-shaped molecular structure. tRNAs have two regions of fundamental functional importance: the anti-codon, which is responsible for specific mRNA codon recognition, and the 3' end, to which the tRNAs corresponding amino acid is attached (by aminoacyl-tRNA synthetases). tRNAs cope with the degeneracy of the genetic code in two manners: having more than one tRNA (with a specific anti-codon) for a particular amino acid; and 'wobble' base-pairing, i.e. permitting non-standard base-pairing at the 3rd anti-codon position. Lineage: Bacteria; Bacillati; Bacillota; Clostridia. The record is from RNAcentral.
GCUGAUGUGGCGAAAUCGGCAGACGCAAAGGACUUAAAAUCCUUCGGGGGCAACUCCGUACCGGUUCAAGUCCGGUCAUCAGCACCA